UCCUCCUUAGCUCAGUUGGCAGAGCACCUGACUGUUAAUCAGGUUGUCGCUGGUUCGAGCCCAGCAGGGGGAGCCA
This 76-nucleotide transfer RNA is filed under the name Clostridia bacterium. RNAcentral's name for it is "tRNA-Asn". It matches the Rfam family "tRNA". Rfam says of the family: Transfer RNA (tRNA) molecules are approximately 80 nucleotides in length. Their secondary structure includes four short double-helical elements and three loops (D, anti-codon, and T loops). Further hydrogen bonds mediate the characteristic L-shaped molecular structure. tRNAs have two regions of fundamental functional importance: the anti-codon, which is responsible for specific mRNA codon recognition, and the 3' end, to which the tRNAs corresponding amino acid is attached (by aminoacyl-tRNA synthetases). tRNAs cope with the degeneracy of the genetic code in two manners: having more than one tRNA (with a specific anti-codon) for a particular amino acid; and 'wobble' base-pairing, i.e. permitting non-standard base-pairing at the 3rd anti-codon position. The record is from RNAcentral. Lineage: Bacteria; Bacillati; Bacillota; Clostridia.